GGGAAAGUGGCUCAGUGGUGGAGUGCUUGCCUUGCAUGCAUGAGGCCCUGGGUUCGAUUCCUCAGUACCA
This 70-nucleotide transfer RNA is filed under the name Dipodomys ordii (Ord's kangaroo rat). It matches the Rfam family "tRNA". From Rfam's summary of the family: Transfer RNA (tRNA) molecules are approximately 80 nucleotides in length. Their secondary structure includes four short double-helical elements and three loops (D, anti-codon, and T loops). The record is from Rfam by way of RNAcentral. Lineage: Eukaryota; Metazoa; Chordata; Mammalia; Rodentia; Heteromyidae.